Molecule: ribosomal RNA, 795 nt
Filed under: Triticum aestivum (bread wheat)
Lineage: Eukaryota; Viridiplantae; Streptophyta; Magnoliopsida; Poales; Poaceae
Description: partial small subunit ribosomal RNA
Source: RNAcentral
AUGAGAAAUCCUCUCGAAGAAGCUAAAACCCAGCAAAAUAUUGAUGAAGACCCUCUUGAAGAGCAUGCAAUCCAGCAAGCUCCUGUCAAAGGACACGAAGACGGUGAUAUUGAAAGCGUAGAAACACACAGCAUGUCUCCUCAUUCGUCAGAAAAGGACACGGAACAAAACAUGAAGAACAAACCACCUGCGGCAGAAAUGGUAACUUACACCAGGCUCAACAGGAUUAAACAUAUAGCAACAAGCAAAAAAAAGAGAAAAUCAGAUACCAGCACUGUUUUUACUCCUGGAGCAAAAUGGCAAAAGCAAAAGGACAAUGCUGAAAACAUCGUCGAUACUAGUACCUUGCAGCAUCAGCCAUUACCUCUAAUGGUACUCCCGCCAACAGCACCAACCGGCACGAAGAAACAAGGUGAACGCAAGAAGAAAAACAAACGACAAAGGGUAGAAAAAGAACAAGUCGAUACCAACAGAAAGGUUCAGAUACCAAUGAUGACGACGAUGAUAGACAACAUGAUACAGAUUUCAUUCCUACAGACGGCGAUGAUGCCAAAGAGCACGACAGCGACGCAGAACAUGACGACGAUCCCAACCAAGGCCAGAAGGACAGAAAGAGGAGAAAGACAAGCGGAAAAGAAUUGGCAGCACCAACAGUUGACGAAGAACAGCAAGAAACAAACGAAGAGAAAUGCCAAAUCAAGGCAGGGGCAGCGUUUGCUCAUGUCAAGAAAGCAUGGAAUUUACUUAAAGACCGUCACAAGCAAGAUAUUAGGACGACAGGAUUUGGCAGCAUAG